UUUACUCCCAAUUCCUAAAUUCAGUUGGUGAAUGUUCAUAAGGAUUUUAUUCUUGUACUAAUUUUUGUUUCAGUUGUGUAAGAUUGAUUCAGAGGGAAAGGCUAGGAAGGUAACUGGUUGCUCAUGUGUGGUUGUUAAGGAUUUUGGGGAGGAACAUGAAGCCUAUAAUGUUGUUCUGCAGCACGUGAAAGCUAACUAAGUUAAAUACCUAGAUUUGUGGGUUUCAGUUUGGUGUUAUUUUAUUAGUCUUUGAGGAAUAUUUUUGCCUCUGGAGUAUCUGCAUAGGGAUUUUGACUAUUUACAAUCAUACCCAUUCUCAUUGUUGCUGAGUGAAUGGUUUUUUCUUACUAUUGAUUUUCUGUGUUUUUUA
Non-coding RNA from Vigna umbellata (rice bean), 370 nucleotides. Lineage: Eukaryota; Viridiplantae; Streptophyta; Magnoliopsida; Fabales; Fabaceae. The record is from RefSeq and is a predicted model, not a curated record.